This 319-nucleotide long non-coding RNA is filed under the name Mustela putorius furo (domestic ferret). RNAcentral describes it as "lncRNA (ENSMPUG00000028075.1)". The record is from RNAcentral. Lineage: Eukaryota; Metazoa; Chordata; Mammalia; Carnivora; Mustelidae.
UGUGUUGAAAUCUGGUGUCCAUGGCAACCAGAACAUCACCAAUCUCAAAGCACUCACUGUGGGGACCAGCUGAAUGUUCACUUAUACAAUGACUUUAGGAGGGAACCACGUUCCUAACAGACUUUAUAGCUCUCGAAGGCUGAAGAGAUCCAGUGCUCAGCCAGAAAGUGUGACUUCUCCACAGUCUGUUCUGUUCUUCGUGUUUAUGCUGUUCCUGCUCAGUGAUGCAGGAAUGUUCUGAGAGAACAUCUAUGGAAUGUUACCUAGUAAUGAAACAACGUGGUCAUUUAUAGGUCAAGUUUGUCAAUAAAUACUUCCU